GUUUACGACCAUAUCACGUUGAAUAUACCGGUUCUCGUCCGAUCACCGAAGUCAAGCAGCGUCGAGCCUAGUNAGUACUUGGAUGGGUGACCGCCUGGGAAUACUAGGUGCCGUAGACU
This 119-nucleotide ribosomal RNA is filed under the name Stichopus oshimae. The record is from RNAcentral. Lineage: Eukaryota; Metazoa; Echinodermata; Holothuroidea; Aspidochirotida; Stichopodidae.